This 253-nucleotide ribosomal RNA is filed under the name uncultured bacterium. RNAcentral describes it as "partial 16S ribosomal RNA". It matches the Rfam family "Bacterial small subunit ribosomal RNA", at positions 524 to 776 of the family's 1533-position model. The record is from RNAcentral.
UACGAAGGUGGCAAGCGUUGUUCGGAUUUACUGGGCGUACAGGGAGCGUAGGCGGUUGGAUAAGCCCUCCGUGAAAUCUCCAGGCUUAACCUGGAAAGUGCAGAGGGGACUGUUCAGCUAGAGGAUGGGAGAGGAGCGCGGAAUUCCCGGUGUAGCGGUGAAAUGCGUAGAGAUCGGGAGGAAGGCCGGUGGCGAAGGCGGCGCUCUGGACGAUGACUGACGCUGAGACGCGAAAGCGUGGGGAGCAAACAGG